UAUGGCCAUAUCACAUUGAGACAUCAGUUCUCAUCUGAUCACCGAAGUUAAGCAAUGUUGAGCCUGGUCAGUACCUAGAUGGGUGACAC
Acanthosepion pharaonis is the source of this 89-nucleotide non-coding RNA. Lineage: Eukaryota; Metazoa; Mollusca; Cephalopoda; Sepiida; Sepiidae. The record is from the annotation of a GenBank genome assembly.